CCUANGGGGGGCUGCAAGCGGGAAUAUUGCACAACGGGCGAAAGCCUGGUGCAGCGACGCCGCGUGAGGGAUGAAGGCCUUCGGGUUGUAAACCUCUGUUGAUGGGAACGAAAACUGACGGUACCCAUCGAGGAAGCCCCGGCUAACUCCGUGCCAGCAGCCGCGGUAAGACGGAGGGGGCGAGCGUUGUCCGGAUUUAUUGGGCGUGAAGAGCGCGUAGGCGGCCCGUUAAGUCGGCUGUGAAAUCGCUGGGCUCAACCCAGCAACUGCAGUCGAUACUGGUGGGCUCGAGUUCGGGAGAGGGAAGUGGAAUGGCUGGUGUAGCGGUGGAAUGCGUAGAGAUCAGCAAGAACACCGGUGGCGAAGGCGGCUUCCUGGACCGAUACUGACGCUGAGGCGCGAAAGCUAGGGGAGCGAACGGGAUUAGAUACCCUGNUANUC
RNAcentral lists this ribosomal RNA (441 nucleotides) under uncultured bacterium. Its description in RNAcentral is "bacterial SSU rRNA". It matches the Rfam family "Bacterial small subunit ribosomal RNA", at positions 338 to 795 of the family's 1533-position model. The record is from RNAcentral.